This 442-nucleotide ribosomal RNA is filed under the name Reticunassa festiva. RNAcentral's name for it is "Nassarius festivus partial 12S ribosomal RNA". The stretch from base 67 to 442 matches the Rfam family "Microsporidia small subunit ribosomal RNA", at positions 752 to 1217 of the family's 1311-position model. The record is from RNAcentral. Lineage: Eukaryota; Metazoa; Mollusca; Gastropoda; Neogastropoda; Nassariidae.
UGAAAGCUUCCAAACUGGGAUUAGAUACCCCACUAUUCUUGAUUGUAAAUAUAAUUAAAUUUACCAGAGUACUAAGAAUGUUUUAAAAAUUUAAAACUCAAAGGGCUUGGCGGUGUUUUAGACCUAUCAGGGGAACCUGUCUCGUAAUCGACAAUCCACGUUAUACCUAACCUUAUUUUGUAAUUCAGUUUGUAUACCGUCGUCGUCAGGUAACUUUUAAAAACAUAGAAGUUAGCGGUAAAAAUUUGUAAAUUAAGACGUCAGAUCAAGGUGCAGCCUAUAAUAAGGAGAGGAUGGGUUACAAUUAUUAAAAUUAUAAUUACGGAAGUUUAAAUGAAAGCGUUUUCAGAAGGAGGACUUGAAAGUAAAAUUAAAAUAUCUAAAUAAAUUGAAUAAGGCUCUGAAACGUGCACACACCGCCCGUCACCCUCUGCAGUCAAAA